This 253-nucleotide ribosomal RNA is filed under the name Anaerobutyricum hallii. Its description in RNAcentral is "partial 16S ribosomal RNA". It matches the Rfam family "Bacterial small subunit ribosomal RNA", at positions 524 to 776 of the family's 1533-position model. The record is from RNAcentral. Lineage: Bacteria; Bacillati; Bacillota; Clostridia; Lachnospirales; Lachnospiraceae.
UACGUAUGGAGCAAGCGUUAUCCGGAUUUACUGGGUGUAAAGGGUGCGUAGGUGGCAGUGCAAGUCAGAUGUGAAAGGCCGGGGCUCAACCCCGGAGCUGCAUUUGAAACUGCAUAGCUAGAGUACAGAAGAGGCAGGCGGAAUUCCUAGUGUAGCGGUGAAAUGCGUAGAUAUUAGGAGGAACACCAGUGGCGAAGGCGGCCUGCUGGACUGUUACUGACACUGAGGCACGAAAGCGUGGGGAGCAAACAGG